GAUGAACGCUAGCGGCAGGCUUAAUACAUGCAAGUCGAGGGGCAGCACGGUUAGCAAUAACUGGUGGCGACCGGCGCACGGGUGCGUAACACGUAUACAAUCUACCUUAAACGAGGGGAUAGCCUUUCGAAAGAGAGAUUAAUACCCCGUAAUAAAUUGAACGGCAUCGUUUGAUUUUGAAAGCUCCGGCGGUUUGAGAUGAGUAUGCGUCUGAUUAGCUAGUUGGUGAGGUAACGGCUCACCAAGGCGACGAUCAGUAGGGGAUCUGAGAGGACUAACCCCCACACUGGUACUGAGACACGGACCAGACUCCUACGGGAGCAGCAGUAAGGAAUAUUGGCAAUGGAGGCAACUCUGAACCAGCCAUGCCGCGUGCAGGAUGACGGCCCUA
RNAcentral lists this ribosomal RNA (391 nucleotides) under uncultured bacterium. RNAcentral's name for it is "bacterial SSU rRNA". It matches the Rfam family "Bacterial small subunit ribosomal RNA", at positions 28 to 419 of the family's 1533-position model. The record is from RNAcentral.